Molecule: ribosomal RNA, 164 nt
Filed under: Dendrobium loddigesii
Lineage: Eukaryota; Viridiplantae; Streptophyta; Magnoliopsida; Asparagales; Orchidaceae
Also listed under: 2 other names
Description: 5.8S ribosomal RNA
Rfam family: 5.8S ribosomal RNA
About the family: 5.8S ribosomal RNA (5.8S rRNA) is a component of the large subunit of the eukaryotic ribosome. It is transcribed by RNA polymerase I as part of the 45S precursor that also contains 18S and 28S rRNA. Functionally, it is thought that 5.8S rRNA may be involved in ribosome translocation.
Source: RNAcentral
ACAUGACUCUCGGCAAUGGAUAUCUCGGCUCUCGCAUCGAUGAAGAGCGCAGCGAAAUGCGAUAUGUGGUGCGAAUUGCAGAAUCCCGCGAACCAUCGAGUCUUUGAACGCAAGUUGCGCCCGAGGCCAACCGGCCAAGGGCACGUCCGCCUGGGCGUCAGUCA